This 499-nucleotide ribosomal RNA is filed under the name Halobacillus kuroshimensis. Its description in RNAcentral is "bacterial SSU rRNA". It matches the Rfam family "Bacterial small subunit ribosomal RNA", at positions 383 to 872 of the family's 1533-position model. The record is from RNAcentral. Lineage: Bacteria; Bacillati; Bacillota; Bacilli; Caryophanales; Bacillaceae.
CUGACGGAGCAACGCCGCGUGAACGAUGAAGGUCUUCGGAUCGUAAAGUUCUGUUGUCAGGGAAGAACAAGUACCGUGCGAAUAGAGCGGUACCUUGACGGUACCUGACGAGGAAGCCCCGGCUAACUACGUGCCAGCAGCCGCGGUAAUACGUAGGGGGCAAGCGUUGUCCGGAAUUAUUGGGCGUAAAGCGCGCGCAGGCGGUUCCUUAAGUCUGAUGUGAAAGCCCACGGCUCAACCGUGGAGGGUCAUUGGAAACUGGGGAACUUGAGGACAGAAGAGGAGAGUGGAAUUCCACGUGUAGCGGUGAAAUGCGUAGAUAUGUGGAGGAACACCAGUGGCGAAGGCGACUCUCUGGUCUGUUUCUGACGCUGAGGUGCGAAAGCGUGGGUAGCAAACAGGAUUAGAUACCCUGGUAGUCCACGCCGUAAACGAUGAGUGCUAGGUGUUAGGGGGCUUCCACCCCUUAGUGCUGAAGUUAACGCAUUAAGCACUCCGC